GUUAAGGCAAAGGAGGUUUGGAUUUUAAUCUUCCCUCUGAUUUUUGCAUAGUUUUGGCACUUAUAUUUAACAACUCUGUUCUAGUUCCUAUCUCUGAACAAGGAGCUAGGUGUUAGAGUAAGCUUAUGCCAGUAAUGCUAACUAAGCACUUGUGAUCCUGAGAACAGAUGGAGAAAUGCAGCUGAGUGGCAUCAUAUGCAUUUUACUUGUUUCUCCUUUCCUCUUUACUCCUAGUCCCCACUAUCAAAAUUAAAGAUUACUGAAUCCACAUAGUCCUUUCCCAUUUAGGGCCAAUACCCAAUUUCUUCUGUAAUAUUUUCUAGUGCUUUAUCAGUCCAGUCUUAUAUGACUCAUAAAGCUUUCAUCACUUUCUUCAUGAGAUAAUUCAACAGUCUCCUAGACAACAUUACAGCAGUACAAAGGUCCUAAAAUUAAGCAAGAGAAGCUGUAUUCUAAUUUUUCCAUAAAGAAGUCCUGUGAACGAACCUGGCUCCACAACUUUUCUCUUUGAGUUUUUCAACUAAUGCCAGACGGUUAUCAAGCCUCUGUAUUAUAGCUAAAAUCUUCUUUAUCUAUUUCUUUAUUCUCACUGUCUUGUUUGAAUGCAAACGUGACUCAUGGUUAGAGUCAGAAGCUGAGUUCUAGCUGACACUGGACAAUUUUGAGUCUUGCUACACAGCCACUGAAGUGACCAAACAUUUCAAUUUAAUCCAGAUGCUGUCAGUUCUUUGUUGCAAGUUGCUAAUGCAGAGUUGAAACAUUUUUCUAACCACUCCAAUCUGAUAUCAUUUUUUUUCUCCAUUACCUGCCUAGGUCUUUCUCAUUCAAUAGCACCCUUCAUCUGGCAAAGUGAACCUUGUUGGACCAGGAACCAAACAUUCUCUGGAAGUCUUCUGUGGAGGGUACACCUCUGCCCAAAUCCCAAAAGGUGCUUAAGCAACUAAGUGGACAUUAGCACUCUAGUUACUCAUGGAUUUGUGAUGAAGUAAUAUAUUCAUAGCGAUGAGCAGGAUUUCUGCUUAAUAUUUCUGAAGUUCAGCCAUGCUCGGGAGCUUCAGGACAAAAUCUAUUAUAAAACACAAUGAGUUAUGAAGAACAAAACGGCCUUGAAGGUCUGUCAGUUAGAGACCACUUGGAGCUUGGUGUACCUACACAAAAAUAAUGAAAAAGAGAGUUGUUCUUGUCAAGAUUUGAACUGAACUCUAAGUAUGUGUAUGCGAAGCUUAGGGUUAUUUGAUAACUAUUUAGGUAGGUAAACAGUAGAGUGCACUACAUGCUUAUGUUUUAUAAUAAGGGGACUCAAAUCAAUAUAACAGGAAGAAGGUAGCAACUGGAAAGAAAAAUCAACAGAGAAUUUUGACAGGAUAGCAUCUCUCUCUCAUAUAUCACUUAUUACUAGAAAGCAGUAAUAGAAAAUUCUU
This 1421-nucleotide long non-coding RNA is filed under the name Anser brachyrhynchus (Pink-footed goose). RNAcentral's name for it is "lncRNA (ENSABRG00000015821.1)". Lineage: Eukaryota; Metazoa; Chordata; Aves; Anseriformes; Anatidae. The record is from RNAcentral.